CUACGGGUUGCAGCAGCUAAGAAUCUUCCGCAAUGGACGAAAGUCUGACGGAGCGAUGCCGCGUGGAUGAAGAAUGCAGAGAUGUUGUAAAAUCCUUUUAUGAGCGAGGAAUAAUAGAUACAGGAAAUGGUAUUUAGAUGACGUUAACUCAUGAAUAAGCUCCGGCCAAUUACGUGCCAGCAGCCGCGGUAACACGUAAGGAGCGAGCGUUGUUCGGAAUUAUUGGGCGUAAAGGGCGUGUAGGCGGUUAGUUAAGUCUUCUUUGAAAGACCGGUGCUCAACACCGGAACCGGGGAGGAAACUGAGUAACUAGAAUCCGGUAGGGAAAUAUGGAAUUUCUGGUGUAGGGGUGAAAUCUGUUGAUAUUAGAAAGAACACCAAUGGCGAAGGCAACAUUUUGGGCCUGGAUUGACGCUGAGGCGCGAAAGCAUAGGGAGCAAACAGGAUUAGAUACCCUGGUAGUC
Molecule: ribosomal RNA, 464 nt
Filed under: uncultured bacterium
Lineage: Bacteria
Description: partial 16S ribosomal RNA
Rfam family: Bacterial small subunit ribosomal RNA
Source: RNAcentral